UGNGUGUAGUUUAAAAAAAA
Molecule: transfer RNA, 20 nt
Filed under: Pseudechis papuanus
Lineage: Eukaryota; Metazoa; Chordata; Lepidosauria; Squamata; Elapidae
Description: partial tRNA-His
Source: RNAcentral